Non-coding RNA from Sus scrofa (pig), 766 nucleotides. NCBI's taxonomy places the organism in Eukaryota, Metazoa, Chordata, Mammalia, Artiodactyla, Suidae. The record is from RefSeq and is a predicted model, not a curated record.
GCCUGGGAACCUUCGUAUGCUGUGGGUGUGGCCCUAAAGAGACACACACACACACACAAAAGCCUCCACUUGGUUUUAAUGCUCCUGUCGCCCCAAGAUGCUCUCUCACCAGCUACCACGCUUUCCCCACCAGUCACACGUGCCUCCCCUGAGGGGCAUUCCUGCCCCGCGGCUCCCCUGCUCAGCCCUGCCAUGUUUUGUUCUACCUCCUCAGGCUGGCAUUCCUUCUCUCCACGGUUCGCUUGUCCAAACCCUCAUCAGUGCUCACGGUGAACUGGAGUGCCCAGAGGAAGGAGUCGAUUAGAAACAGAAAACCACAGAUGCCACCCAUAAUCUCUGGCCUGACCGUCUGAAGCCUUCCCUGAGGACCCAGGGUCCAGGCAGGGGGUGGAGGCACCGCAGAGGGCUGAGGGCGGCCAGUGUGAGGUCAGGGCGGCACAAACCUAGUGUCACAGGAAUGAGCUCACGCUAAUUAUCCCGUAAUUAUGGGCCCUGCUGAUCCCAGGCUCUCACCUCCUGCUCCCACCCACUCCCCGAGGAAACGGGUCCUCCGGUCUCCAAGUUCCUUUGAGGAUGGUCAUGUGCCCUGAGGGCUGCCCACAGACCCCCUCCUUCCUCGCUGGGAGAAACCAGGGCUCCCAGGCCCUCCUACAGCGUCUCCUCUGAUGUCCCUGGCCCCCACCAAGUGCAGGAGCGGAGCACGAGAAAGAAAGACACAGAGCAGUUGCUUUUACAAUAAAUGCUCUAUUAUGUUCACUUGGGAGAA